Molecule: non-coding RNA, 711 nt
Organism: Pelobates cultripes (western spadefoot toad)
Lineage: Eukaryota; Metazoa; Chordata; Amphibia; Anura; Pelobatidae
Source: the annotation of a GenBank genome assembly
GAAAUGGACACAUAUUGCGAGCGAUCCGAUACAUACGAUCACCAAGAGUUGAGUUUGUGCAGCAGAAUGUCGUGGUCUACUGUGUCAAAGGCCUUAGCAAAAUCAAGGAAAAUAGCUCCAGUUAUGUCUCCUUGUUCCAUGCUAGUUUGGAUGUCAUUGCAAACUUUUAAGAGGGCAGUUGUAGUGGAGUGAUUCUGGCAAAAGCCCGAUUGAUCAAGGGUCAGAUAGUUUGAUUGUUGGUAGUACUCACAUAGUUGCGUAUGGUAUUUUUCUAAGAUUUUUGACAAUACCUGGAGCAAUGAUAUUGGGCGAUAGUUAGUAACCAAAGUAGUGUCACCACUUUUAUGGAUAGGCACUACUCUCGCAGUCUUCCAAGGUUUGGGUAUGUAUCCAGACACCAAGGAUUCGUUAAUUAGAGUUGCGACGGGUUUAGCAAUUGCCAGCGCACUGAGCUUCAACAGCAUUGCUGGGAUUUGAUCAGGUCCGGACUGGUUUUUCAUUUUUAGAUUAUUAAGAUGUUUUUCAAUGACACUAACUGGUACAGGUCUAAAAAUGAACUUUUCUAUAUUGGGACUUUGCAAAUUUAGUGUGGGCCUGAUCCACAUUUGUAGUUUCAGGAUGCGUGUCAUUUAUUAGCUUGGCAAUCAGGGCAGUAGAGCAUCCGACAAAAUAAUUGUUAAAGGGAUUUGCUACAUCUAAGGGAAGUUGCAG